RNAcentral lists this ribosomal RNA (565 nucleotides) under Trichoderma sp. PPRI 14668. RNAcentral's name for it is "eukaryotic LSU rRNA". The record is from RNAcentral. Lineage: Eukaryota; Fungi; Ascomycota; Sordariomycetes; Hypocreales; Hypocreaceae.
UUCCCGAACCCAAUGUGAACCAUACCAAACUGUUGCCUCGGCGGGGUCACGCCCCGGGUGCGUYKCAGCCCCGGAACCAGGCGCCCGCCGGAGGGACCAACCAAACUCUUUUCUGUAGUCCCCUCGCGGACGUUAUUUCUUACAGCUCUGAGCAAAAAUUCAAAAUGAAUCAAAACUUUCAACAACGGAUCUCUUGGUUCUGGCAUCGAUGAAGAACGCAGCGAAAUGCGAUAAGUAAUGUGAAUUGCAGAAUUCAGUGAAUCAUCGAAUCUUUGAACGCACAUUGCGCCCGCCAGUAUUCUGGCGGGCAUGCCUGUCCGAGCGUCAUUUCAACCCUCGAACCCCUCCGGGGGGUCGGCGUUGGGGAUCGGGAACCCCUAAGACGGGAUCCCGGCCCCGAAAUACAGUGGCGGUCUCGCCGCAGCCUCUCCUGCGCAGUAGUUUGCACAACUCGCACCGGGAGCGCGGCGCGUCCACGUCCGUAAAACACCCAACUUCUGAAAUGUUGACCUCGGAUCAGGUAGGAAUACCCGCUGAACUUAAGCAUAUCAAUAAGGCGGAGAAA